Condylostylus longicornis is the source of this 1905-nucleotide long non-coding RNA. RefSeq lists it as uncharacterized. NCBI's taxonomy places the organism in Eukaryota, Metazoa, Arthropoda, Insecta, Diptera, Dolichopodidae. The record is from RefSeq and is a predicted model, not a curated record. The transcript has 3 exons.
CAAGGCAGUCACCUUGUCGUGGUGUGGGGGCUCACGUUGCAGUGAUUCAAUAAUAACAUUGAUGAGCAACAAACUAAGAACUGCCAACCCCUUAAUCCAGUGGUGUUAUGCGACCCGUGCCCAGUGGACAUGAUUGGUAGCGGGGGGAUAUAAUAUCGAGCUAUCGCAAACGGAGCCUUCCUGAUAACCGGGCCACAUCAGGAAGUAAUUUGGCCUUAACAUAAUUAUAAGAUUUGGUUUAGUGGCAAAUUUUCUCCUAAUAUUUCAACAAAAAUUAAGGGUAAUGAAUAUGAAACAGUUAGUGUGGAAUUUCUUUGCAAAUUUAACGCAAAAUCUGUCUUGAAAAAGCAAAUAAAAAAAAGGUUUUUUCAAAAUCGAGAACAAAGAAGAAUUUCUACAGUACGGGAAAAUUAUUUGCAAUUUUCAAGAUUUAUUUAUUAAUUGUGUUAACCUUCUUUUAAUAACCAAAAAAAUAACACCAAUUGAUAGAUAAUUUAAAAAACAAAACAAGCGAUAUCUUAGCCGGUGUCUAUGUGGAUGAAAAAGGUUUUAAUGAGUAAAGAUAAAUGGAAUUUUUUUCAACCUUUUGCUGGAAACAAAUAAUUUGAGUGAGAAAAAAUGAUGCCAUCAGGAAAAGAAUAACAAAUUUCUUAAUUAUAAAAAAAUAUGAAAAGCAAGCAAGUUUAAUCCAUAUUUCAAUUAGGCUUUGAAGUAAUUUGCUAAGGGUUUCACCACACUUUAACAGUGUUUAAAUUUAUAAAGAAAAUUUGAUGUAUCUAAUGAACAUAAACUAAGUGAAUCCAUAAUAUUGUUGCUUUUACAAGAUUAAUAAGAAUUCCUUUAAGCUAUAAUUUGAGAAUUCAUAAGUCAAUUAAUCAUACUUAGUCGUCACAUGAAACACAUGGAACAAAGAAAAUAAUGUGAAGAAAUUUAAAAGUGUGAUACAUAUUAUUAAAUAAAAUAAGAUUAUUAUCAUCGAAAAAAGACAAAUUAAGCUAAAAGGUGAAGCAACAAUACUGAAAGGUUAUAUAUCUAUUGAAAUAUUUUGGAAAAAAUAUGUCCACAAAGUUUAAAAGAAAAAUUAUGGUGUGGCAAAUAUACCAAUGAAAGUAUUUUCAAAUAGAGGGAACAUUAAAGGACCUCGUGGUAGAAGUAAGAUUUUAGAAUUAAUACUGUUUUUUUCAAGGGGAAGAUGGAAGAACUCUCUGUUAUUUCAGAUAUAAUAGGAGUUUUAAUAGCAGAACAACUAAUAUCUAACUUGAGAAUAUUUAGAGUAACAUUGUUAAAGUCUCAAUUCGUUUUGCCAAUAUUUAUACUUUCAUUAAGCCUCUUAAAGUUUUAAAGUCGAUGACGAAUUGCGGCCAAAAAGAAUUGAUAUUGCUGAUUGAAUUGUAACGAAAACUGAAAAUGAAAAAGAAACAAGUUUGAGGGUAAAUUUAUUGAAGGAUCUUCUUAUAUUGGAACAGAUAGUUCGUUUGAAUUGUUCGCUAGGAUAUAGAAACGUAUUUAAAAGGACCAGGCUUGGCUAGUAAUAUUAAUUUUCAACGCAAUUUGUCUUUAACAAAACAUUAAUAGUAAGUAAGUAAAUUAUAAAAUAUAACAAAACACUUUAGAGAAUAGAUUAAACCCUACUUUAACAUUAUAUCAUCAGGGUUUUUGCAAUUAUAAAUUAUAAAAAAUAAAAUAAACAUUAUUAGCCCAAAAAUUUAUUGAUUUCAUGUCAGUAAUUAUUAAUUAAAAUAAAACAUUAUAUAGUAUUAUGUUACUAAAAUACCCAUAUUUCAAAGUUAUUUACUUUUAUUAAUAUAUUAUAUAAGUAUAAUCAAUGAAUUUUAAACGAACUUAAAAAAACAAAACAGAAUUUUCAAAUGUAUAUCAAUAAAAUGUAUGUUUCAAAUUAAAUAA